Molecule: long non-coding RNA, 260 nt
Organism: Motacilla alba alba
Lineage: Eukaryota; Metazoa; Chordata; Aves; Passeriformes; Motacillidae
Exons: 3
Source: RefSeq, a predicted model, not a curated record
AGAAAUGGUGAUAACCAGCAGAGGAGACUGAGAUUGGUGCCUGUAACUUCUUCAGUUGCCAGAGGCUUCACAGAAGGUAAAUCCUGCUUCAGCUACAAAAAAGGCACUAAAUAAGACUCAGAGCAUGAUCAGGCACCAAAUUUGCUUGUACUCUGCACACAGUUCCAGGUGCACUCUGGCAGCCAGUGUAUAAUCACCAUUGUUACUGGAUCACAGAAACACAGAACAGGUGAGGUUGGCACCUUUGGAUCAUGUGGUUG